GAUGAACGCUGGCGGCGUGUCUAAAACAUGCAAGUCGAGCGGCAGCAUGACCUUCGGGUUGAUGGCGAGCGGCGGACGGCUGAGUAACGCGUAGGAAUAUACCCCAAAGUGAGGGAUAACUGCCCGAAAGGGUGGCUAAUACCGCAUGUGGUCUUCGGAUUAAAGCUUUAUGCGCUUUGGGAAUAGCCUGCGUUCGAUUAGCUAGUUGGUGAGGUAAAAGCUCACCAAGGCGACGAUCGAUAGCUGGUCUGAGAGGAUGAUCAGCCAGACUGGAACUGAGACGCGGUCCAGACUCCUACGGGAGGCAGCAGUUGGGAAUUUUCCACAAUGGGCGAAAGCCUGAUGGAGCAACGCCGCGUGCAGGAUGAAUGCCUUCGGGUUGUAAACUGCUUUUAUGUGAGAAGAAUAUGACGGUAACACAUGAAUAAGGGUCGGCUAACUACGUGCCAGCCGCCGCGGUAA
RNAcentral lists this ribosomal RNA (462 nucleotides) under uncultured bacterium. RNAcentral's name for it is "partial 16S ribosomal RNA". It matches the Rfam family "Bacterial small subunit ribosomal RNA", at positions 28 to 523 of the family's 1533-position model. The record is from RNAcentral.